Molecule: ribosomal RNA, 462 nt
Filed under: uncultured bacterium
Lineage: Bacteria
Description: bacterial SSU rRNA
Rfam family: Bacterial small subunit ribosomal RNA
Source: RNAcentral
ACUCCUACGGGAGGCAGCAGUGGGGAAUUUUGGACAAUGGGCGAAAGCCUGAUCCAGCCAUGCCGCGUGCAGGAUGAAGGCCUUCGGGUUGUAAACUGCUUUUGUACGGAACGAAAAGACUCUGGUUAAUACCUGGGGUCCAUGACGGUACCGUAAGAAUAAGCGCCGGCUAACUACGUGCCAGCAGCCGCGGUAAUACGUAGGGUGCAAGCGUUAAUCGGAAUUACUGGGCGUAAAGCGUGCGCAGGCGGUUAUAUAAGACAGAUGUGAAAUCCCCGGGCUCAACCUGGGAACUGCAUUUGUGACUGUAUAGCUAGAGUACGGUAGAGGGGGAUGGAAUUCCGCGUGUGGCAGUGAAAUGCGUAGAUAUGCGGAGGAACACCGAUGGCGAAGGCAAUCCCCUGGACCUGUACUGACGCUCAUGCACGAAAGCGUGGGGAGCAAACAGGAUUAGAUACCCUG